AGCCCCAGUGCUAUCAGGGGCUCCCUGUGGGUCCCAGGAGGAGAGAGACCGAACCCCAGGGGUUGGAGCUGCUGCUGCUGGAACUGCCCGUCUGUGUCCCCAGGCAGUCCUGGGGGCAUCAUCCAAAGGGUGGGUAAGUGUGCUACUAUCAGCCCGGAUGCAUGGGAACAGGUUAAAAACGCCAGGUGCUGAGGGAAACUAUGGCCUGAAGGGGAAGUCCAGCCUCAUAAAUGGCUUUAGCGAAGGAUCACUCCUUUGGAGGAGUCUCAGGGGCUAAGGGAGGCUACCCGCUUCUCCUCAGAGCAGCUUGCUCAGGAAAGUGAGUCAGCUUCCACAGAAAGUGAUUAAAUCCUGUGGGGGACCGAGGGCCUGCGCCCAGCCUGUGCAGGAGUGCACCCAAAAAGAGGUUGGUGAGCCAGAUGAUGGCUUGUGCUCCUCACCUUAGCUUCUCCAGAGCUGCUGUGAGGGACUGCAGGACUAUGCAUCUGCUGGUGUGGACAAUACUCAGGGGGAAUUCGGUGCUGAUAGAAGCUUAACCUUAUGUACCCAGUGAUGGUCACUGAAACAAUGCUGCUUGUGAAAGAAAUCAUGAUGUUAUACUAAAUCUAUGAAAGUGUCAGCUGUGUCAGUGCCCAAAAAGGAAAAGAAAGUGAGUUUAGAUGGGAUUGGAAAAGGAACAGAGAUGAAAACACAAAUUUUCACUUUUGCCCUAAAAGUGAACAUGUGCAGCUCUCAUCUCUCCCACUCCAGAACUGUUUUAGUAGAGUUAGAAUGGAAUAGAGAAAAUCAGCAUUGAGGAUAUGGAUUAACUUCAACAGACGGAAAUACUGAAGAAGAAAUUUUCAGAGUGGGUUUGACUAUGUGAAGGUGGGUAGUAAAAUUAUAAGUAGUGUAAAGAAAGUGAACAUGACUAGUAGAAGAACUGGGAGGAUGUCCCAGAAAUCAAGUUGGGUGCUUACAGGGAAACUGGGUAACUAAUUGCUACAGGAUGUUUUGGAUACCAAAAUAUUACUUGGCUGAAAAAAAAAAUAAAAAGACCAGAUAUAUUCACAAAGAGAAGUACAUCCAGGGCUCUUAAAGAUGGCACUUGUCACUGGUAGUCCCUGAGUCCUAGAUUGGUGGAUGAUCAGCAUUCGUACCAGAGAUGUAUUAGCACAUGUAUAUCCCCUUAGGCUCUUCUCAGAGCUUCGGCUGCUAGCUGUGGUUGGAGACAGGCUACAGGGACUUUUUUCUAGCCUAGUACAGCCAUUCUUAGAAUUUUAGAGCAAGAAUUUCUGCUAUGAACCAAAAAGGGAGGAGAAAAAAGGAGCUGGGAAAGGAAGAGAAUGGUAAUCUCUCUCUGUCUGCAUCCCAUCUAUAGGUCAUCAGCAGUGAAAAAGAUAUUCCUCUAUCUUUGGCUGCCCUCAGAGCAAGAAAGUAGUGAGAAGAUCAAACAGCUGCACAUCUUGUGGCCUUAAAUACAUUAUCUGAUACUUGUCAUAAGAUUUCUUUAACUGAAAUAAUUUUUAAUGCUUUGGUUUACAGUACAGCCCCGAACCACCACGGCAAGUAAAAGUGCAGUAAAUUAUAGAAAGGAGACAAGGUUGAAUAAACUGUGAUGUGAAACUGUUCUUAUUUGUAAACUGAAAGCAAAAUCAUUCUGCUCUUCUGCAUAACUGAAGUAAGGAAAAAGAUGUUAAAACUGUGCUUAGCUUAAAUAUUUUGGGAUGUGGUCACUUCAAAUUAAAGCAGACAGGUAAAAUAAGAAAUGGGUCAACAGAAAGCGAUCGUAAGGAGGGAUUAAGAGAUAUGAUUUUUGCCUCUUUUCUAGCAGACUGAUUACUACUCUGUCCUGUGCCUAUCUUUGGCAGAUUUAGCACUUUUGUCAUUAUUCUGAGUCAGUAGCAACAGCAGGAAAGAACAGAAAUUUUGCCAGCAUUGUUGUCGAAGCUAAAAUCCUGGACCAUGGAAGAAGUUGCUUUACCCGAGGAAUUAAUGGCCUACAGUUCUAGUUGAACUCAUUAAAUCCAUGUGAAGAUGAAGCCAUCUUCCCAAGGGGCUUUGCAUUUUUAUUUCCUCAGUAAUAAUUUAUAAUUUAUCCUCUUAAGAAUUAUGUAAUGGUUGCUCAGUGUCAACAGCUAUAGCUUUGAAGUGGAGCAUACUGAAUGCAAACUUGAAAAUCAAGAAAAAGUCCACUUCACAAAAUAUUUCCUCAGCAUUCCAGAGUCUGUCUCUUGUACUAUGUCAAAGAAAUUAUUUAAGGCUUCUCUUCUUUCCCUGUGCAGGAGUGCAAGAAGACUAUGACUGCCUGAAGCUGAGAUAGCUUCCAGAGUGCUGCCUGCUCCCAGCAAACCGUGUCUUGCACCUUUCAGUGCCUCACUACUCAUGCCAGGUCACACGAGACAAUCUUACAGCAGAUGUGGCAGGAGGAGCAGCGGGGAAUUAUACAUGUUCUUCUCUAAGUGGCUGGGACAAUGCUACUGAGCUCUUGCUCCCCACAGCAAAGAUAAUAAGCACAACAGUCCCCAGUGCCCGGCAGGCACAGAGCCCAGAAGACUAGACCAGGAGCUCUACUCACCUGCUCAGACCCUGGCAUAUAGAGAAGAUUGUGGAAGUUCUUAUUGCCAGCCCGCAGGAGGGACCACACGGAGCAGGUACGCUUGUAGAUGUUGUGCAUCUCUCGCUCGCAUGGGCUGUUCCCAAGGAAGGUCCCAUAGAGGCAGGAAUAUGUGUGCUGCACCAGCUUCACC
Molecule: long non-coding RNA, 2729 nt
Organism: Cygnus olor (mute swan)
Lineage: Eukaryota; Metazoa; Chordata; Aves; Anseriformes; Anatidae
Exons: 4
Source: RefSeq, a predicted model, not a curated record